GACUAACGCUGGCGGCGUGCCUAACACAUGCAAGUCGAACGGUAACAUGUCUGUAGCAAUACAGAUGAUGGCGAGUGGCGGACGGGUGAGUAAUACGCAAAUCAUCUUCCUCUUUGACGGGGACAACCUAGGGAAACUUGGGCUAAUACCCGAUAAGAUCAGCGAGACCCAUGUCUUGUUGAUGAAAUCACUUAGAUGGCAGAGAGCUGAGUUUGCGCCUGAUUAGCUAGUUGGCGGAGUAAAAGCCCACCAAGGCGAUGAUCAGUAGCUGGUCUGAGAGGACGGACAGCCACACUGGAACUGAGACACGGUCCAGACUCCUACGGGAGGCAGCAGUGAGGAAUUUUGCUCAAUGGGCGAAAGCCUGAAGCAGCGACGCCGCGUGAAUGAUGAAGUCUUUCGGGAUGUAAAGUUCUGUCAGCAGGGACAAUAAUGAUGGUACCUGCAGAGGAAGCG
This 456-nucleotide ribosomal RNA is filed under the name uncultured bacterium. RNAcentral describes it as "bacterial SSU rRNA". It matches the Rfam family "Bacterial small subunit ribosomal RNA", at positions 28 to 492 of the family's 1533-position model. The record is from RNAcentral.